Molecule: transfer RNA, 73 nt
Filed under: Felis catus (domestic cat)
Lineage: Eukaryota; Metazoa; Chordata; Mammalia; Carnivora; Felidae
Rfam family: tRNA
About the family: Transfer RNA (tRNA) molecules are approximately 80 nucleotides in length.
Source: Rfam by way of RNAcentral
ACCCAGUUGGCUCAGUUGGUAGAGCAUGUGACUCUUGAUCCUGGGGUCAUGAGUUUGAGCCCCACAUUGGGCA